GAAUUCACAUUUGAUCUUGAUGUGGUGUGAAGCUUUGUUUAAGGAUAUUACCCAUGCAUGUUUAAAAUAGUUCCACAUUAGUGGGGCAAUUUGCAUAUAGCUCAUUAAAACAUCAAUAACUUCAAGUCAAGUGAAAAUUUACAAGGAUACUCCCGGUAACUCCACGCCUAAUACUUGCAUCGACAUCGACUUUUUGGAAGAUGGCAUUUAUUAGUUUGAAACCAACCCGCUGGUAAAACAGUUUGAUUGAUUUCUAAUAACUCAGUGAAUCCUAUUUAAUUAUGGGAUAGUGACUAUAGAUUGAUGAUGUAUUAGUUUGUAAGUUGUGUAGUGGACAACUUAGACGGUAAUGCUAACGGGGAUCUGGAGAUCGAUACCGGAGAGAGCGCCUGAGAGACAGCGCUCAUUACUAAGGUAAGCAGCAGGGACGAAAAUUGCACACUGCGCAAUUGCGCGAUGCAGUGACAAUCUGUAAUUGUUUUGGUUGGGUAAAACCGGCUGAAAAUAAUUAAUAACGUAUCAAUACAAACUCCUUCAGGGAAGGCGAUGGCCAUCUAUAUGCCAGCAGCAGCGGUAAUAUUUAAUCGUCGAGUUUGACAUCCAUUUAUUGCGAUUGAAACGUUCGUAGUUGGUAUUGUUGUUGUCUACUUUAGUGGGGAGCUUUAUGGUUUCCAUUUUUCAUGCAGGGGAUUUUUUCCUUGUUUUGAACGCUAAAGACUUUUGACAAUAAUAUAGGAUUUUGCGGUAGCAAUACUGAUGAAAUACUUUUACCAUGAGAAAAAGAGUACGCUAAAAGUGGGCUCUAAUGCUUGAAUCAUUCAGCAUGGAAUAAACACAGCAGGCUCACAUUAUAUUUUAAGUAUUUAGGUCAAACUAGAUAUGAGGGAUGUAGUGGGCUGGUAUGGUUUUCACCAUAUCAGUUUCGGUCCUCGUUUGUAAGUUGGUUCUUCACGACCAAGUCAUGAUCAAUAGGGGUGGUUGAGGAGAUGUAUGUAUGCGUGGGAGAGAGGUGAAAUUUGAUGACCCCACUGCAGACAAACAAAAGCGAAAGCAUUCAUCAAUUACAUUCUCGUUAAUCAAGAACGAAAGUUAGAGUAGCAAAGGCCAUUAGAUGCAGCUGUAGUUUUAACCAUAAACGAUGACAUCUCAGGAUAUCAUUGAUGAUCUGUUUAAUGUUGUUUGUGAUGCAAAUCAUGAAUAAUAUUGCUAGUAUAGAUCUUGUUCAUUGAAUUUGUUAGAGUAAUCUAACAAUUCGUUUUAGACCAGUGGUGCACUGUGUGGGAAACCAACAGCUGUCUUCGUGGAGUGUAUGUUAGCAAUGAUGAAAUUUAAAAGAAUUGACGGAAGUAUCACCACCAGGAGUGGAUCGUGCGGCUUAAUUUGACUCAACGCGGGAAAUUUUACCAGGGCAGGACACCAUGAGGAUUGACAAGUAUCUUUAAUCGGAUACAUCGACUGCAGCUCUUUCAAGAUUUUGUGUAUGUUAAAUGUAGUGCAUGGCCUUUGGGAAGUGGAUGGAUUGAUUUCACUCAUCAAUUUAGAUAAUCAGCGAGACCGACACCUUGAGGUUUUGGAGCAAUCUGAAACCAUAUGUAAAUACAGUGCGAUAUGUUUUCAUACCGGAAAGACUCUUCUCGGAGUUCAUUGUUCUUAAAGGGACUACUGGUGUUUUAAUCAGUGGAAGCUGUCGGCGAUAAAAGGUCCGUGAUGCUCUCAGAUGUUCUGGGCCGCUCGCGCGCUACACUGAUGUGGUCAACAAGUUUUUUGUGAGUACUAUGGGACGUAAGUUACCGGUACCUGCCCCUGAUUCGAGAGGAUUGGGAAAUCUUUGAAACCGCAUCGUGCUGGGGAUUGACGAUUGUAAUUAUUCGUCAUGAACGAGGAGUUCCUAGUAAGCGCCUGUCAUCAACAGGCAUUGAAUACGUUUCUGGUCUUUGUACACACCGCCCGUCGCUGUUACCGAUUGAAUGGUUCAAUGAGUAGUAAGGAGUUUGGUUUAGUAAUAGACCGUUCGAAUUACCUCAAAUUGUAUCAUUUAGAGGAAGCAAAAGUCGUAACAAGGUAUCGGUAGGUGAACCUGCAGAAGGAUCAA
RNAcentral lists this ribosomal RNA (2092 nucleotides) under Rosculus vulgaris. Its description in RNAcentral is "Rosculus sp. GAS-2018e partial small subunit ribosomal RNA". It matches the Rfam family "Eukaryotic small subunit ribosomal RNA". The record is from RNAcentral. Lineage: Eukaryota; Cercozoa; Guttulinopsidae.